CCAGAUACUAAAAUCACUGUAAAUGUACCCGAUCUUGCCAGAUCUCCGAAGCUAAGCACAGUUAAACCUGGUUGGUACAUGGACGGGUGACCACCAGGACUUGCCAGGUGUUGUAGGGU
This 119-nucleotide ribosomal RNA is filed under the name Petromyzon marinus (sea lamprey). The record is from RNAcentral. Lineage: Eukaryota; Metazoa; Chordata; Hyperoartia; Petromyzontiformes; Petromyzontidae.